This 520-nucleotide ribosomal RNA is filed under the name uncultured bacterium. RNAcentral's name for it is "partial 16S ribosomal RNA". It matches the Rfam family "Bacterial small subunit ribosomal RNA", at positions 28 to 507 of the family's 1533-position model. The record is from RNAcentral.
GACGAACGCUGGCGGCGUGCCUAAUACAUGCAAGUCGAACGCACUCUCGUUUAGAUUGAAGGAGUUUGCUCCUGAUUGAUAAACAUUUGAGUGAGUGGCGGACGGGUGAGUAACACGUGGGUAACCUGCCCUAAAGUGGGGGAUAACAUUUGGAAACAGAUGCUAAUACCGCAUAAAACCUAACACCGCAUGGUGUAGGGUUGAAAGAUGGUUUCGGCUAUCACUUUAGGAUGGACCCGCGGUGCAUUAGUUAGUUGGUGAGGUAAAGGCUCACCAAGACCGUGAUGCAUAGCCGACCUGAGAGGGUAAUCGGCCACACUGGGACUGAGACACGCCCCAGACUCCUACGGGAGGCAGCAGUAGGGAAUCUUCCACAAUGGACGAAAGUCUGAUGGAGCAACGCCGCGUGAGUGAAGAAGGUUUUCGGAUCGUAAAACUCUGUUGUUGGAGAAGAAUGUAUCUGAUAGUAACUGAUCAGGUAGUGACGGUAUCCAACCAGAAAGCCACGGCUAACUACGUG